This 393-nucleotide ribosomal RNA is filed under the name uncultured bacterium. RNAcentral's name for it is "bacterial SSU rRNA". It matches the Rfam family "Bacterial small subunit ribosomal RNA", at positions 29 to 424 of the family's 1533-position model. The record is from RNAcentral.
AUUGAACGCUGGCGGCAUGCCUUACACAUGCAAGUCGAACGGCAGCACGGGAGCAAUCCUGGUGGCGAGUGGCGAACGGGUGAGUAAUAUAUCGGAACGUGCCCAGUAGUGGGGGAUAGCCCGGCGAAAGCCGGAUUAAUACCGCAUACGACCUGAGGGUGAAAGCGGGGGAUCGCAAGACCUCGCGCUAUUGGAGCGGCCGAUAUCAGAUUAGCUAGUUGGUGGGGUAAAGGCCUACCAAGGCUACGAUCUGUAGUUGGUCUGAGAGGACGACCAGCCACACUGGGACUGAGACACGGCCCAGACUCCUACGGGAGGCAGCAGUGGGGAAUUUUGGACGAAUGGGCGCAAGCCUGAUCCAGCAAUGCCGCGUGCAGGAAGAAGGCCUCGGUU